AUGUCAGUGUCUUAUUUACCUGAAUGACAUGCACAUCAUGGUAGGCAAUAGUUGAGAACACAGAAGUGCAAUCUGUGUGCAGAAGAAAGCAGGCCCAUAAGACCCAGAAACCCAUGUUCUUUUUUCUAAAUUCUACUGAGUCUUUAUCAGCACUGUCUAAAAGAACUUUCCAUGAUGAUGAAAAUGUCCUUCAUCAACAGUACUAGCAACAACAUGUGGCUCAUGAGCGUUUGAAAUCUGGAUGGUGCAGCUGAGAAGUAAAUAUUUGAUUUCUUCAAUUUUAAUGUCAAUAGCCUCGUAUGAUUAGUGACUCAUCUGUUGCACAGGGGAGGAUCCAUCAUACAGUUUGGUGUAAAAAUGCCAUCAUGGAAAGCUUCACCCAAAAUAAUCCUCAGGGGGAAAAGUGCACACACAAGAGCAUUGGUACAACUAGAAAUUAAUCAUAUAACUCAUUAAUCUUAAUGGAAAUGGUGACAGAUCCUUCUUAACGGUGUCUGAGUUAAGGAAAUACAAUUAAUCUGCAGAUUCAGGGACUCAGAUUUAAAGAGGUCUGCCUUCUCUAAAUGUUGGCAACCAGCAGAAGCCAGGCAUGGCAGCCCUAAGUCCACCAGCUAGUAGACUGAAUGAGGACAGUGAAGGCAAGUGGAGCCAUUUCAACAGUUAAUCUUUUCUUCUCGACAGACUUUAGAAACUCCCCUGUUUUGCUUCUAAUCAACUGUUCCUCUAAGUAUUGAGAAGACAUAGUCAAGUGGUUACUCCAUGGAGUCUGACCAUAGCAGUGAAUUUAGCGGGAAUAACACUGAUCUAGCCAUCACUCAGCACUGAGCAAAGUGGUCUUCCAAGAUGUCAGGCUAGAGUAGCAAGCCGUAUGCAGAGAAAAGGCAUGUCACCUGGUUAGCAGCAUUGGCAUCUGACACUUGACCAUCCAGUGCCCACCAAGAUGGGAAUCUCAGCCCACGGGAAUGUUUAAUAACUUUUAGAACAGGUGAAAGACCCCCAAUUAACAGACCAGUUGAGUAAGACUGUCUCUUCUUGCCAGCAAACAGGACCCACUCUGCACUUCUACUCCAAACCUCAUUAUUUGCCUUUUGAAUUGAAUGGACCUUUUUGAAUGCAGUAAACAAAUCAGCUACAAUUACAGUGAAGAUAAGCCAUAGCAGUAUUUUCUGCAAAACGAGGGCCUCAGUUAAAACCCUAAGCCUGCAGGGCAAUGGUGGAGAAGCAGAUUAGGAAAACAAGGAGUGAAGGGGCUGAGACAACCCAGGAGUGACCAAGAAGAUUGGAAGAAAUUCUGAAAAUUGGAUAUUAGGGCUUAUGCAGGGUGAAGCAACAAGAAACGAAUGAAUAACAGAUGGGAGAAGAAAUAAAAAGGGCUGUGCAAAACAAGAACAGGGUUUUCUUUCUCAAACAACAUUGGUCACAAAUCUGGACCAUGGUCUCUGCCCGGUGCCUUUGCAUGCGCUGAGCCAACUCUAAUGACAGGGCCUGUCUUGGUGAUAUCUGCCAAAGUCCGGCACACUUCAAAUACUAGUCAGUGUGAAGUCCUAGCGAUUUUCUAAGCCAGUGCCUCUCAAACUCUCAAGGAUAUACAUUACCUGUGCCUGCAUGCAUGCUAAGUCACUUUGGGCAUGUCCAACUCUUUGCGACUCUAUGGAUGGUAGCCCAUCAGGCUCCUCUGUCCAUGGGAUUCCCCAGGCAAGAAUACUGGAGUGGGUUGCUAUGCCCUCUUUCAGGGGAUCUUCUUGACCCAGAAAUGGAACCUGCCUUAGCAGGUGGAUUCUUUACUGCUGAGCCACCAGGGAAGCCCAUACUUUGAGUAACAAACCGUUAUUCUCUUGUCAGUCACAGGGGAGCUUGUUUGGUUGAGAAUCACGCCAGGAAAGUCAAGGACAUCCAUUUGAGCCCCAUCAGUGGGAUCACUGUGUUCUAUGGCUGCAAACGGAACCCGCAGCUCCAACUGGUUGUCCGGAGUCUUUGUCACACACAUACACGCACCCACAUACACGCCACCACACCUUCUGGACCAGUGGAGAUUCGGUGGUAAGGAAUACCUAUCUGAAGGUCAGCAGGUAAAACCUGGGCUGCUGGGGGGACCCAGCCCUGAGCCGCAUUGUCCCAUGGCUCUGGCUCUGUGCUCUCCCUGCUCCCACCUGCCCCUCGAGGUCUUCUUACCCUCAUUCCCUGGAGGCCGACUUCAGAAUUGUCUAUUAGAUGAAAUCACUCAGAAGCAGGAUUGCAAACUAGUCCCCUCUCUCCCGCUGACUGGAUGAUCUGAAGCGGCUGCCUGUGGAGCUAAUUUGAGGAAGAUGCUGAAACCAGGUCUUGGCUCUGCUGGAAGAACUGUCAUACUGGCAUGGUGCUUGGCGCUCAAAUGAUGAACACAUGAAUGAAGAAAUGCAGAGAUUAAUUAGCCUUUAAAUGCUUGGAUGCCCCAUAUUCUGUGGAAUAAAACAUUCUUCUUUGAGCUAUAAAAAUAAGAACAUUGCAGAACACUGCCUUUUUGACAGCAGCAAUAUCUCUGUUAUUAAAUAACAGACUGGGAACUGGAUACCUCCUGCUCUGAAGUCUGAGGCACACGCUUUUAAUUCUCUAAAGAACCCAACCAUUAAGUAAUUACUUUUUGAAACUGCCUUCUCUGGAAAUCCACUUCUUUAACCUAUCCACAGAGCAGCCCUGCAAGGCAGACUGUCCCCACAUCCCAGAAAUGAGCCCCCUGUGGUGUGUUCCCUUCUGCAGAAUUACUGGCUACAUCUACUCGGGAACAUAAUCAGAGGCUGUGAGAAAUGGAGUGAGGUGUCUGAGCGUGCUUACCUACCACCUCCAGAUUCUGACAGUCACCAACC
Long non-coding RNA from Bos taurus (domestic cattle), 2843 nucleotides. Lineage: Eukaryota; Metazoa; Chordata; Mammalia; Artiodactyla; Bovidae. The record is from Ensembl.